This 688-nucleotide ribosomal RNA is filed under the name Collinsonia canadensis (northern horsebalm). RNAcentral's name for it is "eukaryotic LSU rRNA". The stretch from base 295 to 450 matches the Rfam family "5.8S ribosomal RNA". The record is from RNAcentral. Lineage: Eukaryota; Viridiplantae; Streptophyta; Magnoliopsida; Lamiales; Lamiaceae.
UAUCAUUUAGAGGAAGGAGAAGUCGUAACAAGGUUUCCGUAGGUGAACCUGCGGAAGGAUCAUUGUCGAAACCUGCAAAGCAGACCGUGAACACGUGUUUAACAUCACCGGGCACGGUGUGGGGAGACUCACGCCGUGUACCACCCCCGCCGGUGCGCGCCCUCGGGCGUCGAAUCGUGCGGGCUAACGAACCCCGGCGCGGCAUGCGCCAAGGAAAACAAAAUUUAGCGUCUGCCCUCCGCAUCCCGUUCGCGGGGUGUGCGGUGGGAGUGGACGUCUAUCGAAUGUCAUAACGACUCUCGGCAACGGAUAUCUCGGCUCUCGCAUCGAUGAAGAACGUAGCGAAAUGCGAUACUUGGUGUGAAUUGCAGAAUCCCGUGAACCAUCGAGUCUUUGAACGCAAGUUGCGCCCGAAGCCAUUAGGCCGAGGGCACGUCUGCCUGGGCGUCACGCAUCGCGUCGCCCCUCUCCCCGCGCCGAGCGCUCGUGAAGGGGGCGGAUAUUGGCCUCCCGUGCGCCCCGGCGUGCGGCUGGCCCAAAUGAGAUCCCUCGGCGACUCAUGUCGCGACUGGUGGUGGUUGAAUAACUCAAUCUCGCGUCUUGUCGUGCUACUGCGUCGUUCGUACGGGCAGCGAAUAAUGACCCAACGGUGCUCGUGUGUUACAGCACCGCACCUUCGACCGCGACG